Molecule: long non-coding RNA, 641 nt
Organism: Passer domesticus (house sparrow)
Lineage: Eukaryota; Metazoa; Chordata; Aves; Passeriformes; Passeridae
Exons: 3
Source: RefSeq, a predicted model, not a curated record
AGUCAACAUUUGCAGCAGGCUGAAGACCUGCCCAUGCCACGAUGACAUACAAGCCAGCCAUAAAGACAGCACUAAAUGAAUCUUAAAAACGUUCAGAGAGAUCCAGUUGACUCUCAGAAGAGAGCAAUUACAGGUGGACAUCCAGCAGAAGAUUUCAGUGCUCAGGCUGAGUUCUGCAGCCUUUUCCCACAUCUACUGUGCUCACUACAGGUACCAGAAAAAAUGGUGGAGAAGUAUCUCAAGAUAUUUUUGACACUUUGAGAGGUGUCUCAAGACACCUUGUCAUAAAUGAUGUUUUCACAAUGAUAAGCAGCAAUUGACUGGUAGGCUGAAAACAACAACGUGGCUUCCUAAAAUUUAUGUUUAAUCCUGUCACCUGGAAAGGUGUUCUGCAGCAUUAGUUAGUCCUUAUGCCUGGAAAGAGUUUGGUCCUGAGCCCUGACACACAGGUGGACCUUUGCCAUCAAGCUGGGAGAAAGCUUCCCUUCAAUUCCAGAUGCACAAAAUUAAAUCUGUGAGCUCUGGUCAGUGUUGCCAUUGCUGGCUUUCACAGGCUGGUUUAAAAGGGCUUUUUCCCAUUGUUUUUCCAAGGACCUGCCCAAAAAUGUUUCCAUCCAAACCACCAUCAUGCAAGACUCCAG